RNAcentral lists this transfer RNA (64 nucleotides) under Euaspis polynesia. RNAcentral describes it as "tRNA-Met". The record is from RNAcentral. Lineage: Eukaryota; Metazoa; Arthropoda; Insecta; Hymenoptera; Megachilidae.
AUAUAAAUAGGCUAAAAUAAGCUGUUAAGCUCAUAACUUAAUGAUAGAAUAAUUCUUUUAUAUA